Alligator mississippiensis (American alligator) is the source of this 352-nucleotide long non-coding RNA. RefSeq lists it as uncharacterized. NCBI's taxonomy places the organism in Eukaryota, Metazoa, Chordata, Crocodylia, Alligatoridae. The transcript is spliced from 3 exons. The record is from RefSeq and is a predicted model, not a curated record.
UUUGGGUCUACAUUGCUCUUCAUCAGGCAAAAGAGAAUUCAAAGAUUGUAAAAUUUCUCCCAGGUAGAAAAGAAAAUUCAUCCUGCACAGGAGAACUCAGAGAUGGCAGGGUUCCCCUGGAUGAAAAGGCCAGUUUGUAAAAAAGCUGCUCUGCAUCGUGGUGGAGAUGAGUUUUCGGGACUACACUACAGUGAGACUUUGGGGAUUUACAGCCAACUUCCCCCAUGCAUAAGGGCUGGUGGGAGAAAAGAUGAAGGUACUUCUAAUGAUUUAAGAAGAAAGGCAGGAUGAAGGAAGGAAGCAAGUCAUGGUAAACAACUCAGUGGAUAAAAAUACAUUUUUUUUUUAAUUA